GGAAACUGAAGGAUACGUUACCGGCGAACGGGUGAGGAAUACAUGGAUAACGUACCCCGGACUCGGGCAUAGCGGCGGAACUUCGGUUCCUUUAGCGAAAGUGCCGGUAAUUCCCGAUGACCCCGUCGGAUCGCAUGGUCCGACGGGCAAAGCUCAGGCGGUCCGGGCGCGGUUCAUGCCCUAUCAGCUUGUUGGUGAGGUAACGGCUUACCAAGGCUACGACGGGUAUCGGGCGUGAGAGCGUGGCCCGACACAUCGGGACUGAGACACGGCCCGGACACCUACGGGUGGCUGCAGCAACGAAUAUUCCGCAAUGGGCGAAAGCCUGACGGAGCGACGCCGCGUGCAGGAAGAAGUCCUUCGGGAUGUAAACUGCUGUCAGGGGCGAGGAACACUGACCAGCCCCAGAGGAAGCACUGGCUAACUCCGUGCCAGCAGCCGCGGUAAUACGGAGAGUGCAAGCGUUGUUCGAAAUUACUGGGCUUAAAGGGCGUGUACGCGGAGUGCAAAGUGUCUGGUGAAAG
Molecule: ribosomal RNA, 524 nt
Filed under: uncultured bacterium
Lineage: Bacteria
Description: bacterial SSU rRNA
Rfam family: Bacterial small subunit ribosomal RNA
Source: RNAcentral